GAACCGAAAGAAGGUGAACUAUGCCUAUAUACGGUGAUGCCAGAGGAAACUCUGGUGGAGGCUCGCAGCGGUUCUGACGUGCAAAUCGAUCGUCAAACAUAGGCAUCGGGGCGAAAAACUAGUCGAACCUACGGCGGU
Molecule: non-coding RNA, 138 nt
Filed under: Stachybotrys chlorohalonatus IBT 40285
Lineage: Eukaryota; Fungi; Ascomycota; Sordariomycetes; Hypocreales; Stachybotryaceae
Description: Stachybotrys chlorohalonata IBT 40285 Eukaryotic large subunit ribosomal RNA
Rfam family: Eukaryotic large subunit ribosomal RNA
Source: Rfam by way of RNAcentral